Molecule: ribosomal RNA, 502 nt
Filed under: Xanthomonas sp. E11(2010)
Lineage: Bacteria; Pseudomonadati; Pseudomonadota; Gammaproteobacteria; Lysobacterales; Lysobacteraceae
Description: bacterial SSU rRNA
Rfam family: Bacterial small subunit ribosomal RNA
Source: RNAcentral
GAGUUGGAUCAUGGCUCAGAGUGAACGCUGGCGGUAGGCCUAACACAUGCAAGUCGAACGGCAGCACAGAGGAGCUUGCUCCUUGGGUGGCGAGUGGCGGACGGGUGAGGAAUACAUCGGAAUCUACUUUUUCGUGGGGGAUAACGUAGGGAAACUUACGCUAAUACCGCAUACGACCUACGGGUGAAAGCAGGGGACCUUCGGGCCUUGCGCGAUUGAAUGAGCCGAUGUCGGAUUAGCUAGUUGGCGGGGUAAAGGCCCACCAAGGCGACGAUCCGUAGCUGGUCUGAGAGGAUGAUCAGCCACACUGGAACUGAGACACGGUCCAGACUCCUACGGGAGGCAGCAGUGGGGAAUAUUGGACAAUGGGCGCAAGCCUGAUCCAGCCAUACCGCGUGGGUGAAGAAGGCCUUCGGGUUGUAAAGCCCUUUUGUUGGGAAAGAAAUCCAGCCGGCUAAUACCUGGUUGGGAUGACGGUACCCAAAGAAUAAGCACCGGCAAC